GCUAGUGGCCGGGCACAGGGGGUGGGUGCUCAGUGCCUAGCAGUGGAACCCAUGGUCUCUGGCAGGGGCAGGACAGCAGCUGGUACGGGACUCCACCAGGCACGGCAAGGCUUGGGGCAAGCGCUCAGGUGGUCCUCAGCAGCAAUGACUCCCGACCUUCCCCAGUGGGACCAAGGACGGCACCUCCGCCUGCACAUAGCCCAGGACCCAACGGCCCAGGAUGAGGCCACAGUUCACCACUUGGGUCCCACAGCCCCACGUCUGGACCACCGGCCUCACAGAUGCGCUGUUUUCUUUGAUGAUUACUCUUUUCUGAAACCCCUCAUAACGUUGUUUUCUUGCACCUUUUCUUUCAUGAUUUCUUGUUUCUGAAACCCCUUCAUAGCAUUUUCUUGCAUGUUUGCUUUGAUGAUUUCUCUUUUCUGAAACCCCUCACAGUGUUGUUUCCUUGCAUCUUUUCUUUAACGGUUUCUCGUUUCUGAAACCCCUUCAUAGCGUUUUCUUGCAUGUUUGCUUUGAUGAUAUCUUUUUUAAAGCCCCUUCAUAGCGUUUUCUUGCACGUUUGCUUUGAUGAUUUCUUUUCUGAAGCCCCUUCAUAGCGUUUUCUUGCAUGUUUGCUUUGAUGAUUUCUUUUCUGAAGCCCCUUCAUAGCGUUUUCUUGCAUAUUUGCUUUGAUAAUUUCUUUCUAAAGCCCCUUCACAGCGUUUUCCUGCAUGUUGAUGAUUCUUUUCUGAAGCCCCUUCAUAGCAUUUUCUUGCAUGUUUGCUUUGAUGAUUUCUUUUCUGAAGCCCCUUCAUAGCAUUUUCUUGCACGUUUGCUUUGAUUUCUUUUCUGAAGCCCCGUCAUAGAGUUUUCUUGCACGUUUGCUUUGAUUUCUUUUCUGAAGCCCCUUCAUAGUGUUUUCUUGCACGUUUGUUCUGAUGAUUUCUGAAGCCCCUUCAUAGUGUUUUCUUGCAUGUUUGCUUUGAUGAUUCUUUUCUGAAGCCCCUUCAUAGCGUUUUCUUGCAUGUUUGCUUUGAUGAUUUCUUUUCUGAAGCCCCUUCAUAGCGUUUCCUUGCAUGUUUGCUUUGAUGAUUUCUUUUCUGGAGCCCCUUCAUAGCGUUUUCUUGCAUGUUUGCUUUGAUGAUUCUUUUCUGAAGCCCCUUCAUAGCGUUUUCUUGAAUGUUUGCUUUGAUGAUUCUUUUCUGAAGCCCCUUCAUAGCGUUUUCUUGCAUGUUUGCUUUGAUGAUUCUUUUCUGGAGCCCCUUCAUAGUGUUUUCUUGCAUGUUUGCUUUGAUGAUUUCUUUUCUGAAGCCCCUUCAGGGCAGGCGAAUGUUGGGUCUCCCACAAAGUCUUACUUUGUUUUGCAACUUGAAAAACCAUUUUUUUUUUUUUGAGACAGGGUCUCGCUCUCUUGUCCAGACUGGAUGGAAUACAGUGGUGAGAUCAUGGCUCACUGUUGCCUCAAAUUCCUGGGCUCAAGUGAUGCUCCCACCCUGGUCUCCCAAAGGCCUUGUUUUGUAGUUUUGCUCUAAAUUUCAGGAGGUGGCUCCUGGUCUAUAUCCUGCCUCAUGUCCCGUCAACACAGCCUCGGGGUCUGAACCCAGUUGGAUCUCUCUUACUGAGGGUUUCUCCAAUGUCCGGGUCUCCGGUUGUGAGAGUCACAUGAAAGAUGUGAGGCCAGCUGGCAGCAGGCUCGUACGUCAACUGAAACUAGAAACCAUCUAAGUGAACUGGUUUUCUGUCUCACACGAAAUGCUCAUGCUGACUUUUGUUUGUUUUGAGACAGGGUGUUGUCCUGUUGCCCAGGCUGGAGUGCAGUGGUGCAAUCUUGGCUCACUGCAGCCUCCACCUCCUGGGCUCAAGUGAUCCUCCCACUGCAGCCUCCAGAGUAGCUGGGACCCCAGGCACCCACCAACACUCCCAGCUAAUUUGAAAAAAAAUUUGUAGAGAAGGGUUCUCACUUUGCUGCCCAGGCUGGUCUCAAACUCCUGGGCUCAACAGAUCCGCUCGCCUCAGCCUCCCAGAGUGCUAGGAUUACGGGUUGAGAGCCCUGCGUCCAGCCUAAGGCAGCACAGGCAGGCGCACAGCACCAGCCACACUGAGGACUCUGUUCUGCCCCUCCUGGGCAGCCUUCCCUCGGCAGCAGGCUUCCUGUCCUGUUCCUGUGUGGCCUUCCCUGGGCAGCAGCUUCCUGUCCUGUUCCUGGGUGGCCUUCCCUUGGCAGCAGCUUCCUGUCCUGUAUUGUCUGGGACCUUGCUCCAAUCCAGAGCAUGAGGUUAUUUUCCUAAGUUUGUCACGUCUCCAAUUUUGGUGCACAGGAAUUUUGGUGCACAGGUAGGAAACUGGGGUCCCACGUGGGAAUUCCAUGGCGCCCCCUACAGGAAGUCCAGGUCUGACCAGCGCAGCCGGGGUUUACAUUUCCACAACCUGGCAGCUCCCCCUCGGCCACAGCAGCACCUUCCCCAGGGCUUCCUAGUGCCAUGGUCACCUGUGGUCAAAAGCGAUUCCUCAGCUCAACGCCCUCCGGAGCAUCUCAGCAGAAAGAACCCCUCCCCCGCAACCCAGUCCUCAUGGGCUCCACACGCCCGCCUUCUUCCACACAGCAGCUCCAGGCCCUCUUUUGGACAGACAUGCUCAGGGCACCCCAACACCUUGAGUGUAGCCCGUCUCACCCUGCUGAGGCCUACUCCAACUGGCCUUAGAAUCAUCAGCACUCCCAUAUCCACCCUGCUCUACGCACUUCUGUGGAACGCGUGGCCUGUGCCCACCACAGGACCCCCUUCUUUCACUUCACGUCUCUCUCCCCCAACACAGCGCACAUUCCCUGGGGCCAGGGGCACCCACAGCUCAUGCUUCAGCAGCCACCGCCAGGUUGCUUGGUCACACCCCAUGGGUCCCAAGGACAGUGUGCUGGGCGUUUAGGAGAGGAUGGCUAGGUCAUCUAUGAACACACGGGGGGCCGCCCCAGGCAGCCAGGACAUGUGGGCAGCACGGAGCGAGGGCCUGUGCAUUGGGGGAAGCCGGGCACACGGGGCCAGGGAGGCGGGUGGGUGGGAAAGGCAUGUGGGACAGGGCACCGGAGCGGACAUGUGCUGGCCCACUGUCCGUCACAUGAGCCUGGGCAGGUGCAGGUGAGAAUGCCCUUCCCUGACACCCAGGUGGAGGAAAAAUGGCACCAGAUGGGGGCCACAGCAGCCCAGUGGGCAGCACGGCAGAGGCAUCACAGACGACCCCGUCCAGCGAUGAGAAUGUUGGGUGCACACUGGAGUGGCUGCGAGUCAUGACCUGGAGACUUCGGAAACUCAACAAGACUGCAGGGCACCCAGGGGCACCAGCCCCGGUCACCGCAGAGGAUCAGUGCACUUUGCCAUCUGGCAGAUCAACUCA
Molecule: long non-coding RNA, 3369 nt
Filed under: Homo sapiens (human)
Lineage: Eukaryota; Metazoa; Chordata; Mammalia; Primates; Hominidae
Description: HSALNT0317810
Source: RNAcentral